Molecule: ribosomal RNA, 471 nt
Filed under: uncultured organism
Description: partial 16S ribosomal RNA
Rfam family: Bacterial small subunit ribosomal RNA
Source: RNAcentral
ACACUCCUGCGGGAGGCAGCAGUGGGGAAUUUUGGACAAUGGGCGAAAGCCUGAUCCAGCAAUGCCGCGUGAGUGAAGAAGGCCUUCGGGUUGUAAAGCUCUUUUGUCAGGGAAGAAACGGUGAAAGCUAAUAUCUUUUGCUAAUGACGGUACCUGAAGAAUAAGCACCGGCUAACUACGUGCCAGCAGCCGCGGUAAUACGUAGGGUGCAAGCGUUAAUCGGAAUUACUGGGCGUAAAGCGUGCGCAGGCGGUUUUGUAAGUCUGAAGUGAAAUCCCCGGGCUCAACCUGGGAAUUGCAUUGGAGACUGCAAGGCUAGAAUCUGGCAGAGGGGGGUAGAAUUCCACGUGUAGCAGUGAAAUGCGUAGAUAUGUGGAGGAACACCGAUGGCGAAGGCAGCCCCCUGGGUCAAGAUUGACGCUCAUGCACGAAAGCGUGGGGAGCAAACAGGAUUAGAAACCCGGGUAGUCC